This is a long non-coding RNA of Daphnia carinata, 830 nucleotides long. RefSeq lists it as uncharacterized. Lineage: Eukaryota; Metazoa; Arthropoda; Branchiopoda; Diplostraca; Daphniidae. The transcript has 2 exons. The record is from RefSeq and is a predicted model, not a curated record.
GUUUCUCAACAUCAUCUAGUUUUUUAGUUAAGCAACGGUCUGCUAAAGCCUCCAAGGAGUCAUCAUGUGGAACUCUAGAACUUUACUUUCUCAGCUGGAUGUUAUCCUAAGCUUUGUGCAAUCACGCAACGACCUUCCAAGGUCGUAACUACGCAGGUAAAUUACCUCGAGCGUGGAAUCGUGAUAAACGAGCAGUUAACCAACUAAGGCCUUCCAGUUCUUUUGACGAUAAAAACAAAACAAAAAAAAUCUCAUUUGAAAAGUCCAUCUAUAAACGACGUCUUUAUCCAUUCACUGAAACUCUUUGUCAAGGUUUUGCCUGUUCCAAUGGAAUAAGGCCAUUCUUCAAGGGAUGGGGUACUUCAGUUCCAUGACGAAGCAGAAGUACUAUCAUGUCAAUCCUGUUGUCAAAAUCAAAAAAUCCAUCGUUCGUUUUCUAGAAAAAUGAAAUCGUCAUAGAUUUACUUAAUACCUUUAUCAUUUGAAUUUAAAACGUGGGCUUAAACCUGUUUCUUUUGUCAAUAGAAACCAUAGCUGUUCGUGGUCUUCUUAUAUGGACGUUUGUGCGAUUGACAGUUCAAGGGAAUCACGUCCACGUGAAAAUUCUUAACGAGAACUCAUAAAAAAACAUUUCUGCCAUGGAACAAUAGGUGCAUCGCCAUCCGCCAGAUCAAGGAAUUGUCAAACUUGAUUCGUCGUUUUUCACCAUUUUAUGGAUGGAUGGCCAAAAAUGGGAGGUCAGUGAAAGUUAUUGUAGACUUAAAAAAAAAAAAUCUUAUAGUUUGUGUGUUAAGAAAAUGAAUAUGGAAGUAAAAGUGUGUCGGACGCUA